RNAcentral lists this transfer RNA (75 nucleotides) under Acidimicrobiales bacterium. RNAcentral describes it as "tRNA-Val". It matches the Rfam family "tRNA". From Rfam's summary of the family: Transfer RNA (tRNA) molecules are approximately 80 nucleotides in length. Their secondary structure includes four short double-helical elements and three loops (D, anti-codon, and T loops). The record is from RNAcentral. Lineage: Bacteria; Bacillati; Actinomycetota; Acidimicrobiia; Acidimicrobiales.
GGGCGCUUAGCUCAGUUUGGUCAGAGCAGCUGGUUUACAACCAGCAGGUCGGGGGUUCAAGUCCCUCAGCGCCCA